Molecule: non-coding RNA, 954 nt
Filed under: Iguana delicatissima
Lineage: Eukaryota; Metazoa; Chordata; Lepidosauria; Squamata; Iguanidae
Description: 12S ribosomal RNA
Rfam family: Bacterial small subunit ribosomal RNA
Source: RNAcentral
CACAGUUUUGGUCCUAAACUUAAUGCUAUUUUUAAUUAAAAUUACACAUGCAAGCAUCCGCACGCCAGUGAAAACGCCCUCAACAACAUUAACGGAGCAGAUAUCAGGCACGAACACAUCAGCCCAAAACAUCUAGCCCUGCCACACCCACACGGGUAAUCAGCAGUGAUAAAUAUUAAGCAAUGAGCGAUUAAACCCUAACCUGCCCCAAAGCUCGACUUAGUUAUAAUUAAACAGGGCCGGUCAACCUCGUGCCAGCCACCGCGGUUAUACGAGGGGCCCAAAAUAGCAACUACCGGCGUAAAUCGUGACCAGAAUAACUUUUAAACCCCCAAGAGAUAAACCACGGCCUAACUGUAAAACACAGACCAAAAGAACCCCCCCCUCUUGAUUCCAAAAAAUUUGAUCUCACGAAAACUAAGAAACAAACUAGGAUUAGAUACCCUACUAUGCUUAGACGUUAACAUGACACCCCCCCCCACACCGGUGUUCGCCAGAGAACUACUAGCGAAAAGCUUAAAACUCAAAGGACUUGGCGGUGCUCCACUACCAACUUAGAGGAGCCUGUCCUAUAAUCGAUAAUCCACGAUAGACCUUACCAUUUUUUGCCACAUCAGCCUAUAUACCGCCGUCGCCAACUUACCCCAUGAGGGCCCAAAAGUAAGUACAAUAGUAUAGCAACUAAAACGUCAGGUCAAGGUGUAGCUAAUAAAAUGGAAGAGAUGGGCUACAUUUUUUAACAUAAAACAUACGGCAAAGUACCGUGAAACCGGCACUAGAAGGUGGAUUUAACAGUAAGAUAAGCAAGAAAGCCUAUCUUAAACCCGCUCUGGAGCGCGCACACACCGCCCGUCACCCUCCUCAACUAAAACACCCCCGUACAUAACACCAACCACACCAAAAGAUGAGGCAAGUCGUAACAUGGUAAGCGCACUGGAAAGUGCGCUUGGAACA